GUUUGUAUUAUGGUGAACCCGAUACUAUGUUGUCUUGUUUGGUGUAAAUUACUGGUUUACAUAUUUGUGUAUGAUUGGAUGAUUGAGACCAAGAAAAAUGGCAAAAAGGUUAUGUGAAUUGAUAAGUGGAUAAUGUGGACAGCCUAACCAGAUAUCCUGGGAGAUGGUGGACGGACCGGGUCCCUAGGGAACCCUAUCGGGCUGCUCUGCCACAGUACCACCUGGCACCACUGCCGCAGUAUAACCCGGUGCCCCAGCCACGAUACUACCCGGCACCGCCACAGUACAGUC
This 291-nucleotide long non-coding RNA is filed under the name Carica papaya (papaya). RNAcentral's name for it is "long non-coding RNA (CPAP_LNC005379)". Lineage: Eukaryota; Viridiplantae; Streptophyta; Magnoliopsida; Brassicales; Caricaceae. The record is from RNAcentral.